RNAcentral lists this ribosomal RNA (465 nucleotides) under Vreelandella stevensii. RNAcentral's name for it is "partial 16S ribosomal RNA". It matches the Rfam family "Bacterial small subunit ribosomal RNA", at positions 338 to 795 of the family's 1533-position model. The record is from RNAcentral. Lineage: Bacteria; Pseudomonadati; Pseudomonadota; Gammaproteobacteria; Oceanospirillales; Halomonadaceae.
CCUACGGGAGGCAGCAGUGGGGAAUAUUGGACAAUGGGGGGAACCCUGAUCCAGCCAUGCCGCGUGUGUGAAGAAGGCCCUCGGGUUGUAAAGCACUUUCAGUGAGGAAGAACGCCUGGUGGUUAAUACCCAUCAGGAAAGACAUCACUCACAGAAGAAGCACCGGCUAACUCCGUGCCAGCAGCCGCGGUAAUACGGAGGGUGCGAGCGUUAAUCGGAAUUACUGGGCGUAAAGCGCGCGUAGAUGGCUUGAUAAGCCGGUUGUGAAAGCCCCGGGCUCAACCUGGGAACGGCAUCCGGAACUGUCAAGCUAGAGUGCAGGAGAGGAAGGUAGAAUUCCCGGUGUAGCGGUGAAAUGCGUAGAGAUCGGGAGGAAUACCAGUGGCGAAGGCGGCCUUCUGGACUGACACUGACACUGAGGUGCGAAAGCGUGGGUAGCAAACAGGAUUAGAUACCCGGGUAGUC